UGUGGUGUGGCUCAGUGGUAGAACGCUCACCUAGCAUUUUUGAGGCCCUGAGUUCGAUCCUCAGCGCCACAU
RNAcentral lists this transfer RNA (72 nucleotides) under Ictidomys tridecemlineatus (thirteen-lined ground squirrel). RNAcentral describes it as "Spermophilus tridecemlineatus (thirteen-lined ground squirrel) tRNA". It matches the Rfam family "tRNA". From Rfam's summary of the family: Transfer RNA (tRNA) molecules are approximately 80 nucleotides in length. Their secondary structure includes four short double-helical elements and three loops (D, anti-codon, and T loops). Lineage: Eukaryota; Metazoa; Chordata; Mammalia; Rodentia; Sciuridae. The record is from Rfam by way of RNAcentral.